GCAAGCUUGAGUCUCGUAGAGGGGGGUAGAAUUCCAGGUGUAGCGGUGAAAUGCGUAGAGAUCUGGAGGAAUACCGGUGGCGAAGGCGGCCCCCUGGACGAAGACUGACGCUCAGGUGCGAAAGCGUGGGGAGCAAACAGGAUUAGAUACCCUGGUAGUCCACGCCGUAAACGAUGUCGACUUGGAGGUUGUGCCCUUGAGGCGUGGCUUCCGGAGCUAACGCGUUAAGUCGACCGCCUGGGGAGUACGGCCGCAAGGUUAAAACUCAAAUGAAUUGACGGGGGCCCGCACAAGCGGUGGAGCAUGUGGUUUAAUUCGAUGCAACGCGAAGAACCUUACCUGGUCUUGACAUCCACGGAAGUUUUCAGAGAUGAGAAUGUGCCUUCGGGAACCGUGAGACAGGUGCUGCAUGGCUGUCGUCAGCUCGUGUUGUGAAAUGUUG
Molecule: ribosomal RNA, 442 nt
Filed under: Escherichia coli
Lineage: Bacteria; Pseudomonadati; Pseudomonadota; Gammaproteobacteria; Enterobacterales; Enterobacteriaceae
Description: bacterial SSU rRNA
Rfam family: Bacterial small subunit ribosomal RNA
Source: RNAcentral